This 492-nucleotide ribosomal RNA is filed under the name uncultured bacterium. RNAcentral's name for it is "partial 16S ribosomal RNA". It matches the Rfam family "Bacterial small subunit ribosomal RNA", at positions 29 to 507 of the family's 1533-position model. The record is from RNAcentral.
AGUGAACGCUGGCGGUAGGCCUAACACAUGCAAGUCGAACGGCAGCACAGUAAGUGCUUGCUCUUACGGGUGUCGAGUGGCGGACGGUUCCGUAAUACAUCGGAUUCUACUUUUUCGUGGGUGCUAACGCAGGGUAACUUACUCUAAUCCCGCAUACGUCCUACUUGUGAAAGCACGGGAUCUUCGGACCUUGCGCGAUUGUAUGAGCCGAUGUCGGAUUAGCUCGUUGGCGGGGUAAAGGCACACCAAGGCGACGAUCCGUAGCUGGUCUGAGAGGAUGAUCAGACACACUGGAACUGAGACACGGUCCAGACUCCUACGGGAGGCAGCAGUGGGGAAUAUUGGACAAUGGGCGAAAGCCUGAUCCAGCCAUACCGCGUGGGUGAAGAAGGCCUUCGGGUUGUAAAGCCCUUUUGGUGGGAAAGAAGAGCAGCAGGUUAAUACCCCGCUGUUAUGACGGUACCCAAAGAAUAAGCACCGGCUAACUUCGUG